Mytilus trossulus (common blue mussel) is the source of this 845-nucleotide long non-coding RNA. RefSeq lists it as uncharacterized. The transcript is spliced from 3 exons. Lineage: Eukaryota; Metazoa; Mollusca; Bivalvia; Mytilida; Mytilidae. The record is from RefSeq and is a predicted model, not a curated record.
GUGUACAGUUUUGUCCGGUUUUGUUUCAAAAGAUUAAAACUUUAUGAUCGUUGACCUUAACCUUAUUGAUGAAAACCGUUGAAGCUGGUUGAUCAAUUGUCCGGAUUAAUUUAUAUGUUUUAUUGAUACACACGAACAACUUCAACUUUAGUUAAAAAUUACAUGUGCAGCCUUUUGUUUGCAGUAUGCAAUGGUUACCUCCCUUACUUCAGUUUUGAAAAUGUCCCAAGUAACUCGAGGAUCAUUAUUUUUGGUUGAUGUGUCUGUUGCAUAGAACAUGUAGAAGCGAUUUUGUAUUUUGCGCAAAUUUACUUUUUGGAUUUUCAUGAUACACAAAUAGGAGUAUUUUUCUCACAGCGUUAUGAAGACUGUGAUUUUGGAUAUAAAGUAGAAGCAUAAUAAUAUGACAACUGAACCAUGAUGACUGGAUUUUCCUGUUCUCUUUGCUCAACAAUUUUAUUUUGAUAUUGAAUAUCCUAUGAAUAUUGAGAAGGAAGUGUACAAGAAAAUUAAAUAUUUGUGCAGUGUAUAAUGUACAUUUGAUUGGAUUUAACAAGCAUAAAAGUAUUGGAUUUAUGAUAAUAUUUGGAUUAUGUCUGUGUGAAAAUGUGAUUCUAGAAUUUUCCUGAUCUAAUCUGAGUGUCUUAGCAUGAGGAACUGCUGAUGUACAUGUACAUGUAUCAUAACUCUUUUUAUGCAUAAUGUUUUUUUUUGCGGAUAACGUUUACAAAACAUUUGUUAGUUGUGAUCCAGCUUUUAUUAUGACAUUUAGUUGAUAGAUAUAUAGAAAUUUGUUUGCCGUUAAAUAGAUUGUAAAUUUUUAAAAGAUGAGUGCUUUUCAACAU